AGAGUUUGAUCCUGGCUCAGAUUGAACGCUGGCGGCAGGCCUAACACAUGCAAGUCGAGCGGAUGAAGAGAGCUUGCUCUCUGAUUCAGCGGCGGACGGGUGAGUAAUGCCUAGGAAUCUGCCUGGUAGUGGGGGACAACGUUUCGAAAGGAACGCUAAUACCGCAUACGUCCUACGGGAGAAAGCAGGGGACCUUCGGGCCUUGCGCUAUCAGAUGAGCCUAGGUCGGAUUAGCUAGUAGGUGAGGUAAUGGCUCACCUAGGCGACGAUCCGUAACUGGUCUGAGAGGAUGAUCAGUCACACUGGAACUGAGACACGGUCCAGACUCCUACGGGAGGCAGCAGUGGGGAAUAUUGGACAAUGGGCGAAAGCCUGAUCCAGCCAUGCCGCGUGUGUGAAGAAGGUCUUCGGAUUGUAAAGCACUUUAAGUUGGGAGGAAGGGCAGUAAGUUAAUACCUUGCUGUUUUGACGUUACCAACAGAAUAAGCACCGGCUAACUUCGUGCCAGCAGCCGCGGUAAUACGAAGGGUGCAAGCGUUAAUCGGAAUUACUGGGCGUAAAGCGCGCGUAGGUGGUUCAGCAAUUUGGAGGUGAAAUCCCCGGGCUCAACCUGGGAACUGCCUCCAAAACUACUGAGCUAGAGUACGGUAGAGGGUAGUGGAAUUUCCUGUGUAGCGGUGAAAUGCGUAGAUAUAGGAAGGAACACCAGUGGCGAAGGCGACUACCUGGACUGAUACUGACACUGAGGUGCG
RNAcentral lists this ribosomal RNA (752 nucleotides) under uncultured bacterium. RNAcentral's name for it is "bacterial SSU rRNA". It matches the Rfam family "Bacterial small subunit ribosomal RNA", at positions 8 to 755 of the family's 1533-position model. The record is from RNAcentral.